UUGUUGGUAAGGUAAAAGCUUACCAAGGCUUCGAUCAGUAGCUGGUCUGAGAGGACGACCAGCCACACUGGGACUGAGACACGGCCCAGACUCCUACGGGAGGCAGCAGUGGGGAAUUUUGGACAUGGGGGCAACCCUGAUCCAGCCAUGCCGCGUGAGUGAAGAAGGCCUUCGGGUUGUAAAGCUCUUUCAGCCGGAACGAAACGGUUACGGUUAACACCCGUGACUACUGACGGUACCGGAAGAAGAAGCACCGGCUAACUACGUGCCAGCAGCCGCGGUAAUACGUAGGGUGCGAGCGUUAAUCGGAAUUACUGGGCGUAAAGCGUGCGCAGGUGGUUUUGUAAGUCAGAUGUGAAAGCCCCGGGCUCAACCUGGGAACUGCGUUUGAAACUACAAGACUAGAGUGUGGCAGAGGGGGGUGGAAUUCCGCGUGUAGCAGUGAAAUGCGUAGAGAUGUGGAGGAACACCGAUGGCGAAGGCAGCCCCCUGGGUCAACACUGACGCUCAGGCACGAAAGCAUGGGGAGCAAACAGGAUUAGAUACCCUGGUAGUCCAUGCCCUAAACGAUGUCAACUAGUUGUCGGGCCUUUACGGGCUUGGUAACGUAGCUAACGCGUGAAGUUGACCGCCUGGGGAGUACGAUCGCAAGAUUAAAACUCAAAUGAAUUGACGGGGACCCGCACAAGCGGUGGAUUAUGUGGAUUAAUUCGAUGCAACGCGAAAAACCUUACCUACCCUUGACAUGUAUCGAAGCCCGCAGAAAAGCGGGGGUGCCCGAAAGGGAACGAUAACACAGGUGCUGCAUGGCUGUCGUCAGCUCGUGUCGUGAGAUGUUGGGUUAAGUCCCGCAACGAGCGCAACCCUUGUCAUUAAUUGCCAUCAUUUAGUUGGGCACUUUAAUGAGACUGCCGG
This 915-nucleotide ribosomal RNA is filed under the name uncultured bacterium. Its description in RNAcentral is "bacterial SSU rRNA". It matches the Rfam family "Bacterial small subunit ribosomal RNA", at positions 246 to 1155 of the family's 1533-position model. The record is from RNAcentral.